Molecule: long non-coding RNA, 803 nt
Filed under: Marmota monax (woodchuck)
Lineage: Eukaryota; Metazoa; Chordata; Mammalia; Rodentia; Sciuridae
Source: RNAcentral
AAUGAAACCAGACAUAUGCACAUGCAUGGGAAAUGCUUUCUAGGCACAGGGAGCCCCAGGUGGAAAGGCCCAGGUGAAAGUGAGCCCAGAGGGUGUGAGAGCGAGCCAGGAGGUCAGGGAUGCUGAAGACAGAGAUGUGGGAGACAAGUCCAAGAGGCAGCUAGAGCCAGACAGGCAUCUCUUGCACAGUUGUAAUGUUACUGAAAAUAUGGAAAAUUAUGGCCCUGGAAAGAGACAAGUGGCACUUGGAGCUAUAGAAGAGAAAGGUUUGGUCAGCACUGGUGAGGGCUCAGCGGGGUCCUCUCCCAAAGCUGAGCACAGUCCUUUGUUCUCAGUAUCUUUUCUAUAGCACAGACUUUUGGGUUUCAGGACUUUCUUAUGGAUGUAAUCAUGAUGUCUCCCCCUUUCUCCACGCAGCUCUGGUUCCUGCCAUAGAUGCUGAGCAAACAUGAUUGCAGAAGCAGAAACUAGCAGGUUGUAGCUAUUAACAGAGAUAAAAAGAAACAUCUUAGGAAGGAGUUGCUGCUUCAGUAAUAGUUUAUAAAUCUCUCCUGAGCUUACAUGGGACCUUGAUCUUACUUUCAGAACAUAUUCUGUUUUUUCCCCUACUCUGGUAACAGGUAUUGAACCCAGGGGUGCUUAGUCACUGAGCCACAUCCCCAGCCCUUUUUAUUUUUUGAGACAGGCUCUCACUGGGUUGCUUACAUACUUGUUAAAUUGCUGAGGCUGGCUUGGAACCUGUGAUCCUCCUGCCUCAGCCUCCCAAGCUACUGGGAUUACAGGAAUGUCCCACCACACCAGGC